AUACGGAGGGUGCAAGCGUUACUCGGAAUCACUGGGCGUAAAGCGCGCGCAGGCGGCUAUUUAAGUUGGAUGUGAAAGCCUACGGCUCAACCGUAGAACUGCAUCCAAAACUAUUUAGCUAGAGUGUGGGAGAGGAAGAUGGAAUUAGUUGUGUAGGGGUAAAAUCCGUAGAGAUAACUAGGAAUACCAAAAGCGAAGGCAAUCUUCUGGAACACUUCUGACGCUGAGGCGCGAAAGCGUGGGGAGCAAACAGGAGUAGAAACCCCAGUAGUCC
This 274-nucleotide ribosomal RNA is filed under the name uncultured bacterium. RNAcentral's name for it is "partial 16S ribosomal RNA". It matches the Rfam family "Bacterial small subunit ribosomal RNA", at positions 523 to 796 of the family's 1533-position model. The record is from RNAcentral.